CAUGAACGCUGGCGGCGGGCCUAAUACAUGCAAGUCGAGCGAACGGACGAGAAGCUUGCUUCUCUGAUGGUAGCGGCGGACGGGGGAGUAAAACGUGUGGAACCUACCUAUAAGACUGGGAUAACUUCGGGAAACCGGAGCUAAUACCGGAUAAUAGUUGCAACCGCAUGGUGCAAAAGUGAAAGACGGUCUGGCAGUCACUGAGAGAUGGAGCCGCGCUGCAUUAGCUAGUUGGUAAGGUAACGGCUUACCAAGGCAACGAUGCAUAGCCGACCUGAGAGGGUGAUCGGCCACACUGGAACUGAGACACGGUCCAGACUCCUACGGGAGGCAGCAGUAGGGAAUCUUGCGCAAUGGGCGCAAGCCUGACGGAGCAACGCCGCGUGAGUGAUGAAGGUCUUCGGAUCGUAAAACUCUGUUAUUAGGGAAGAACAUAUGUGUAAGUAACUGUGCACAUAUUGACGGUACCUAAUCAGAAAGCAACGGCUAACUACGUG
This 497-nucleotide ribosomal RNA is filed under the name uncultured bacterium. Its description in RNAcentral is "partial 16S ribosomal RNA". It matches the Rfam family "Bacterial small subunit ribosomal RNA", at positions 29 to 507 of the family's 1533-position model. The record is from RNAcentral.